GUGCCAGCAGCCGCGGUAAGACGAAGGUGACAAGCGUUGUUCGGUAUUACUGGGCUUAAAGCGUGUGUAGGCGGAACUGUAAGCGUCUUGUGAAAGCCCCCGGCUUAACCGGGGAAUUGCUGGACGAACUGCUGUUCUUGAGGCAAGUAGGGGUGCACGGAACUCUUGGUGGAGCGGUGAAAUGCGUAGAUAUCAAGAGGAACGCCGGUGGAGAAAUCGGUGCACUGGGCUUGUCCUGACGCUGAGACACGAAAGCGUGGGGAGCGAACGGGAUUAGAUACCCCGGUAGUCCACGCCGUAAACGAUGUCUACUAGGUUGUGGAGGUUCUGACACUUUCACGGCCGAAGCAAAAGUGCUAAGUAGACCGCCUGGGGAGUACGGCCGCAAGGCUAAAACUCAAAGGAAUUGACGGGGCUCACACAAGCGGUGGAGCAUGUGGAUUAAUUCGAAGCAACGCGUAGAACCUUACCUGGGUUUGACAUGCUUGUAUGGCCGGCUGGAAACAGUUUGGUCUGCCCUUCGGGUGAAACUUGCACAGGUGCUGCAUUGGCUUGUCGUCAA
Molecule: ribosomal RNA, 562 nt
Filed under: uncultured planctomycete n33d
Lineage: Bacteria; Pseudomonadati; Planctomycetota; Planctomycetia; Planctomycetales
Description: bacterial SSU rRNA
Rfam family: Bacterial small subunit ribosomal RNA
Source: RNAcentral